RNAcentral lists this long non-coding RNA (741 nucleotides) under Elaeis guineensis (African oil palm). RNAcentral's name for it is "long non-coding RNA (EGUI_LNC019710)". Lineage: Eukaryota; Viridiplantae; Streptophyta; Magnoliopsida; Arecales; Arecaceae. The record is from RNAcentral.
CACAUCCAAUAAUAAACCAGUAUAUUAUCUAUUAUUAAAAAUAUAUAUUAUUAUUAGAUCAUAUUUUAUCCAUCUGAUGAUGUGGCAAUUCCUCGAUGAUGUAACAACGCAUGGCAAUGCGAUCUGGUCAUGGAGACCAUACAAUCCGAGCGAUAUGGCGCAGCCCCUUAGGCAGCUCCACAAACCUCAACUGAUCUUCUAGAUAAGAUCGGCAGCUCGACGAUGUCUUCAUCGUCAGGCUGACACCGACUUCACUCGGUCUCCGCUCAGAUCUCCUAUGAGAUCCGUCGAAGCUCCGAAAGGUCUCCAGUGCGCGAAGGGUCCCGAUCUGACAGCUGACAGCAUUGGCAGUCUUUUUCCAUUAGUGGAAAAUCGAUCCUGUUAGGACCGGUAGACACUUAAUAUCUCUGGCCCUCUAACGGCCACUUCUCCGACGAGCGUGGACCUGUAACUUGAUAGGCCUCUCCAUAUAAAAGGGGGGAAGCCAACAUCACAAGGGGUUCCUUUCUCUUACUGGCUCUGGCCACUCAUCUCUCACUAUUCUUCCUCUUCGAUCGUGACUAACUUAAGCAUCGGAGAAUCUCCCAUCACAAAGCCAUCCAUCGGUCUCUCCAUUAUGCAGACUUUCCUUGCAGGUGCCCGGAGGCCAAGCUCGGAGUCCCCUACUCCAGCCUGACAGUGCCUCAUCGUGUCGCCCUGUUACAUCCCCCGGUCGGAGAGGAGUAGCAACAGAAAGGUGCU